CGCACAUUGCGCCCCCUGGCAUUCCGGGGGGCAUGCCUGUCCGAGCGUCAUUGCUGCCCAUCAAGCCCGGCUUGUGUGUUGGGUCGUCGUCCCCCCCGGGGGACGGGCCCGAAAGGCAGCGGCGGCACCGUGUCCGGUCCUCGAGCGUAUGGGGCUUUGUCACCCGCUCGAUUAGGGCCGGCCGGGCGCCAGCCGACGUCUCCAACCAUUUUCUUCAGGUUGACCUCGGAUCAGGUAGGGAUACCCGCUGAACUUAA
RNAcentral lists this unclassified non-coding RNA (257 nucleotides) under Aspergillus sydowii. RNAcentral describes it as "partial contains 5.8S ribosomal RNA, internal transcribed spacer 2, and large subunit ribosomal RNA". Lineage: Eukaryota; Fungi; Ascomycota; Eurotiomycetes; Eurotiales; Aspergillaceae. The record is from RNAcentral.